UUUCCGUAGGUGAACCUGCGGAAGGAUCAUUAUUGUAUAACCGAGGUGCGAGGGCUGUCGCUGACCCGAAAGGUCGUGCACGCCCGAGUGCCCUCACACACAUCCAUCUCACCCCUAUGUGCACCACCGCGUGGGUCCCCCUUUGGCUUGUUCGGAGGGGGGCUUACGUUUUCACACAAACUUUGUAUGCAGUGUAGAAUGUAUUUUUUGUUUUUGCGAUCACGCAAUCAAUACAACUUUCAACAACGGAUCUCUUGGCUCUCGCAUCGAUGGAACGCAGC
Molecule: unclassified non-coding RNA, 281 nt
Filed under: plant metagenome
Description: partial contains small subunit ribosomal RNA, internal transcribed spacer 1, and 5.8S ribosomal RNA
Source: RNAcentral